UUACAUCAGCAGUCAUCUCCGUGAUAGAGUGUGGCUGGCACCAGUCCCAGGUGCCCAUUUGGACAUCCUCCAAAACCUAGUGGCUAAUACACGCUCGAUCACUUCCGCCACAUCAGUGUUGGCCAGCAUCCAGCUGGUCGACCGUGGUGGAUUGCACCCAGCUGCAAUGAAGACCAGUGCCUGAAACAUGGCAGCUGUCUCCGAUGACUCAGGCUGGUCCCUCUGGGACAGCCGUGUUGGCAGGUAUUGUGGCCUGAUCCACAGCUUGCUUGAUCACACGAACUUCUGACCUAUCAGCCUUGACUGUGGUGUAGUGGACCACAGUGGCUAUGACGGGUAACGGAGAAUUUGGGUUCGAUUCCGGAGAGGGAGCCUGAGAGAUGGCUACCACUACCAAGGUGGGCAGCAGGCGCGCAAAUUGCCCAAUACAGAAGCACCGUGUGAGGCAGCGACGAACUGCAACAAUCCAGCUGGCAGGAGUGCUGGCUGGACUUGUAAUGGAUGCUAUCCAAACCCUGUGAUGAGUAACGACUGGAGGGCAAGUCUGGUGCCAGCAGCUGCGGUAAUUCCAGCUCCAAGGGCGUAUACUAACAUUGCUGCUGUUAAAACACUUGUAGUCUGCCACUGGGUGCAGGUCUGCCAGGUGGCUGGUGGUGCUGUGGUCUGACCAUGGUGCCGCUGGAACAAACCCCUGGCAGUAUGUCCCUGUGCCCGCUCUCUGUGAUGGUGGAACUGCUCCUGCUCGAGGCCUCCUUCAGUGGGGGUUGAGGCGGUCUUGCACCCCAAGCUUGUCUGGACGUUACGUGGGGCAUGGCCCAGUGCUGUGCAUCUCCCACAGUCCACCACCGGAGCCCACCAUCCUUGUCACCGUGGAAAACUCAGUGUGCUCAACGCGUCCAGUUUGGCUGGAUGCCUGUCCAUGGAAUGUCAAAGCAUCGACCAGAUGUGGCCAAUGGAGUUGUGCUGGCCUUGGAGCCCGUCCAGGGGAAUGUGGUGGCUGUCCCCUGGUUGGGCAAGGGCACCGCCCUGCCUGUGGUGAUUCCUGCUCAGCCAGUGGCUGCAGCCUCCGACCGAAGACGAUGGGACUGCUCAGGGUGGAAGGUAUUGCAACGCCAGAGGUGAAAUUCUUAGACCGUUGCACGACCAACUGCAGCGAAGGCGUUCUGCAAGUGCAUGUUCGUCGAUCAAGAAUGAAAGUGUGGGGAGCGAAGAUGAUCAGACACCGUCGUAGUCCACAACUGUAAACUAUGCCAGCUCGGUGUUGACAGGGCAAGUUCACGGACCCUGCCAGCACCAUGCCCCCUGCAACGAGAAAUCCAAGCCUGUGGGUUCAGGGGGGAGUACUGUCGCAAGGCUGAAACUUAAAGGAAUUGACGGAAAGGCACCACAAGGCGUGGAGUAUGCGGCUUAAUUUGACUCAACACGGGGAAUGUUACCAGGUCAGGACGAGGCCGGGAUGGACAGACUGAGAGCUCUUUCUUGAUUCUUCGGAUGGUGGUGCAUGGCCGCUCCUGAUUGGUGGAGUGAUUUGUCUGGUUGAUUCCGAUAACGAGUGAGAUCUCUGCCUCCCACUAGCCCCAGUCUCGCGUCUGUAGGGUGGGCCCCAGCAGCUCCAACCGGGUGGCUUGCUACCCUGGCUGGGCACUGUGGGUCCCCUGAGAGCUCUGGGAUCAGCUUCUCUGAGGUGCUGUGUACACUGCCAAGUGCAUGCAAGCUAGAGCCAACAGCAGGUCUGUGAUGCUCCCAGAUGUCCUGGGCCGCACGCGCACUACAUUGAUCCAGUGAAGGUGUUCUCUGCCACUGUGGCAGCCUGCCCAGAAAUGGGUGGGAAACCCUGCAAGCCUGUGAUCGUCCUGGGGAUAGAUGAUUGCAACUGUCUGCCUUGAACGAGGAAUGCCUAGUAGGCGUGUGUCAUCAGCGCACACCGAUUGUGUCCCUGCC
RNAcentral lists this ribosomal RNA (1941 nucleotides) under Strombomonas schauinslandii. RNAcentral's name for it is "SSU rRNA". It matches the Rfam family "Eukaryotic small subunit ribosomal RNA", at positions 101 to 1657 of the family's 1831-position model. The record is from RNAcentral. Lineage: Eukaryota; Euglenozoa; Euglenophyceae; Euglenales; Euglenaceae.